CAGUAGGGUGCCAUCAAGAGGUGUAUUUGGAAAUAUCCCUAAUACAGGAUCACUUG
RNAcentral lists this ribosomal RNA (56 nucleotides) under Enterocytozoon bieneusi. Its description in RNAcentral is "partial large subunit ribosomal RNA". Lineage: Eukaryota; Fungi; Microsporidia; Enterocytozoonidae. The record is from RNAcentral.